UUUCUAUUAGUUUAAAAAAAAACACUGUUUUGAAAAAACAAAAAUAAAUAAUUUAUAGAAAA
Molecule: transfer RNA, 62 nt
Filed under: Blattisocius keegani
Lineage: Eukaryota; Metazoa; Arthropoda; Arachnida; Mesostigmata; Blattisociidae
Description: tRNA-Phe
Source: RNAcentral